GGGUGUGCGGUGAUGAAGCAAUUUAUGUGGACUAGAGUUUCUGAUCUGGGUCUGGAUCCCAGAACCUGACGACUAACCCUUGGCUGUCUGAGCACUCUC
Molecule: small nucleolar RNA, 99 nt
Organism: Rhododendron vialii
Lineage: Eukaryota; Viridiplantae; Streptophyta; Magnoliopsida; Ericales; Ericaceae
Product: small nucleolar RNA Z157/R69/R10
Exons: 1
Source: RefSeq, a predicted model, not a curated record